This 77-nucleotide transfer RNA is filed under the name Xanthobacteraceae bacterium. Its description in RNAcentral is "tRNA-Asn". It matches the Rfam family "tRNA". Rfam says of the family: Transfer RNA (tRNA) molecules are approximately 80 nucleotides in length. The record is from RNAcentral. Lineage: Bacteria; Pseudomonadati; Pseudomonadota; Alphaproteobacteria; Hyphomicrobiales; Xanthobacteraceae.
UCCCCGGUAGCUCAGUCGGUAGAGCAGACGGCUGUUAACCGUCAGGUCGGUGGUUCGAGCCCACUCCCGGGGAGCCA